Molecule: non-coding RNA, 2822 nt
Filed under: Pan troglodytes (chimpanzee)
Lineage: Eukaryota; Metazoa; Chordata; Mammalia; Primates; Hominidae
Source: RNAcentral
AGUGGCAUCAUUGCACUGUGACUGUGCAGGUCCCAAACAGUAUGGACAUGAAUGUCCUCAAGCUGCAUGUUAGCAGGGCUUCUAAUUCCAUCUGCAAGUGAUAGUGUGUGGAGCUUAGUCGCACAGAGCGCAUGUUACUGGAGGAGAUAUGGGUCUGUGUCAUCCUGCAUGGGAAUGAUCCUAAAAACAAAGUGAUCAGUGACUGCUCAGGACUGUGGAAAAGUCACCUGGAGCAGUGGGAAAAGGUCUGGCAGAGGAAUAAGAAGAUACAGGUCUUAGAACAAGCCCUGGGACUUCAACCAAGUCAUUUAACAUCUGGGGCCUUCGUUUAUUUAUCCUCCCAGCAGAUAAAGCAAUACCUGCCCUGUCUUCCUAACCUUGGAGGGGUCAAAAAAGUCAUGGGUGUGAAAGCAUUUUGUAAACUGUAGUGCAAGCAUACGGCAGGGGAGUGAACCAUACUUUCACUAGCGACUUGAAUGAGGUGAUAAAGAAAAGGCUCAGAACUUCAGAAAAUGCAAGAGGGGCUUGACCCUGGAUUGGCAGAGGAAAGCAAUGGUGGGAUCAAUACCUUGGAGGGCCAAGGACCAAGGGGUUAAGGGUCCAUGAGGACAGGCCUGGAUCAUCAGGAAGCUGAGUGUGGAUUCCAAGAAUCUCAAGGUUAGAGAAGUCGCCUAGUCCACCUCCCCUCUCUGCUUCUCACAGAAGGGUCUGCUGAACACUCUGGUGACAGAGAACUCACCCAACAUGUUCCAUGGCAGAGGCUUUUCAUUAGAUCAAGGUGACAUCUGUUUUACUGGAGCUUCCAACCACGUGUCCCAAUACUGCCCUUAGUCACAGGCAUCCAGGUCCUCUCUCUCAGGACAGCACUUUGAAUAAAUGAGGACAGCUCCCAUCCCCCUUUCUCCCAGUUGACUUUCCAGAAACAUCUCAUAUUGUUGUUGGCUUUCCACCAUUUUUCCUCUUCACUUUCUGGGCCUACUACACUGUGUGUCCUCCACUUGGUCUCUUCCUGAAAGCAACACUGUGCACAAUGUUCCUGGGGGCAGACUUAUUAAACCAAGUGGACCACUUCCUUCAUCUUAGGUGUCACAGCUCCAUCAAUGCAUCCUCAAAUCACAAUGAUUUUUCUGCACUUCACCCUACAGGUUCCGAUUUAACGUUAACAUUGGCUAGGACAUUACUCAUUUACACACAGGCUCUGCUGAGCCCCAUCUUUGCCAAGACUCUGACUUCUGUUGUUUCAUUUAAAGAUGUAAGAACAGGGCCUCACAGUCCUUCCUAAGGAAUUUUACUUUGUGGCUGGGUGCAGUGGCUCACACCUGUAAUUCCAGCACUUUGGGAGGCCAAGUCAGGUGGAUGACUUGAGGUCAGGAGUUCGAGACCAGCCUGGCCAUCAUGAUGAAACCCCACCUCUACUAAAAAUACAAAAAUUAGCCGGCUGUGGUGGCAAGCACCUAUAUCCCAGCUACUCGGCAGGUUGAGGCAGGAGAAUCGCUUGAGCCCGGGAGGCAGAGGUUGCAGUGAGCCGAGAUCACUGCACUCCAGCCUGGGCAACAGAGUGAGACUCCAUCUCAAAACAAACAAACAAACAAACAAACAAACAAAAAACAAAACAAAACAACAACAACAAAACCCAGAAAUUUUACUUUGCUACAUUCAGCCCACAAUUUUUAGCAACCCAGAUCUUUCUGGAUCCUGGCUGUAUCUUCUCAGUGUGUUUCUUCUUCCUCCCAGCUUCCUGACCCCUGCAAAUAGGGCUGUAAAGAGGCUCUCUGAUGCUGCACUCCCUCCCUCAUUGCCACCAUGCAAAUCACAGAGGACCACCAGGCCAGACUGGCUCAACUGCUUGAUGAAUGCACCAGCCCACUCUCCCAUCCCGGGAGGCCUGUCAGGCAUAAUGAUGUGGAACAUACUUGUUUUCUAUUCAGCUACGAAAGCAGGGUAUUAUCAAAUUUUAAAAGGCAUCGGCCAGGCACCGUGGCACAUACCUGUAAAACCAGGCACUUUGGGAGGCCAAAGUGGGUGGAUCGCUUGAGCCCAGGAGUUCAAGACCAGCCUGGGCAACAUGGCAAAACCCCGUCCCCUCUGCAAAACACACAAAAAUUAGCCGGGGAUGGUGGCACAGGCCUGUAGUCUCAGUUUCUCGGGAAGUUGAAGUGGAAGGAUCACUUCAGUCCGAGAGGCGGAGGUUGCAGUGAGCUGAAAUCCCACCACUGCACUCGGCCUGGCAGCCUGGGCAACAGAGAGAGACACUGCCUCAAAAAAAAAAAAAUAAAUAAAAGGCAUUGAGAAAAGAAAGGGAGGAAGGGAGGAUUUUGACAAAAAAUUAUCAAUAGUAACAGUGGCGUCUGUGUAACAGGACUAUAGGUUUGGCUUUUUAUUUAUUUAUUUAUUUAUUUUUGAUGGAAUCUUGCUCUGUCGCCCAGGCUGGAGUGCAGUGGUGCGAUCUCGGCUCACUGCAAACUCUGCCUCCCGGUUCAAGCGAUUCUCCUGCCUCAGCCUCCCAAGUAGCUGGGACUACAGGCGCCCGCCACCACGCUCGGCUAAUUUUUUGUAUUCUUAGUAGAGACGGGGUUUCACCGUGUUAGCCAGGAGGGUCUCUAUCUCUUGACCUCCUGAUCCGCCUGCCUCGGCCUCCCAAAGUGCUGAGAUUACAGGCGUGAGCCACCGCGCCUGGCCCCUUCAUGCGUCUUUACACGCUUCAUCCAACCAAUAGUUCAUGGAGGCCUUAGGUGUGUGUUUCCAAAUUUUCUAUGCUGAGUGUGUGUUCUUUGGAAAACUAGAAAAAAUAAAGCGAAAAAUAAAAUGAAAAUGAAUAAAGA